RNAcentral lists this unclassified non-coding RNA (335 nucleotides) under Crepidotus applanatus. Its description in RNAcentral is "partial internal transcribed spacer region". The stretch from base 1 to 46 matches the Rfam family "Eukaryotic small subunit ribosomal RNA", at positions 1786 to 1831 of the family's 1831-position model. Lineage: Eukaryota; Fungi; Basidiomycota; Agaricomycetes; Agaricales; Crepidotaceae. The record is from RNAcentral.
AAGUCGUAACAAGGUUUCCGUAGGUGAACCUGCGGAAGGAUCAUUAAUGAAUGAACUUGGUGGAUUGUCGCUGGCUCUCUAGAGAGCAUGUGCACGUCUGUCAUUUUUAUCUUUCCACCUGUGAACUUUUUGUAGACCUGAACACACAAAUGUCAAUCUGAGGCAACUCAGUCGUGAGGCUUGUAGGCUUUUUUCAAUGAAAGUCGACUUUCCUUGAAGUGUUUCAGGGACUAUGUACAUCAUACACACCUUUUUUAAAAUGUAACAGAAUGAAAUACAAGGUCUUUGUACCUAUAAAACCUAUACAACUUUCAGCAACGGAUCUCUUGGCUCUC